UUCCUGGAAGUAGACGGCACGUUUUAAAUCUUAAUGCAGGCAUAUUUCGUUGAAUCAGUCUUUUUCGCCACAUCGCGUAUAAAGGGAAUCGAACCCAACUCUUCCACGAACCCCCCACGAAUGGUCCUCCCUUAACUCAAUGAACUUUGAGAAUUCCUUUGCCUAGUUUUUUUCUUUUCAGUUCUCAUAAGUCCUUGAUAUACUAGCCUCAAUACUUGACCGACUGCGUCACAGUGCUCAGGUAAAGUGGCAGUGGUUGAAAGCGAGCGGAAACGUCAGUGUUUUCUGUGCGUUACGAUAGUAGUGGUGAAAGAAAAUCCAAUUCAAAUAUCUCAACGUAAAAGGAAAAUCGUUUCACUUUGAUUUGAAAAGAAAGACUCCAGCUAGCUAUAUGAGAUCGAACUUCUUCCAUCACUCUAUCUACGAUAUUCAUUGCACCAUGAUUGAAGGCCUACGCAUCUUCUUUCGGGUAUUUCUUAUUGGUUGACAUAAAUUAUAGACACCGUGGGGACGUCAUCUAGACAAAAAGGGAAACGAUUUAUGAUAGAUUACCAUCAAUCCCAUCUUAUGGUGUUACACCCAUGGACUAAAGAUACUAGUCUUCCUACAUUGCAUCUAUUGGGUUGAGAGAGGAUCUCCUUUCUCCUAAAAAUCCUCCUUGUCCAUGAUACUUACUUGCAAUCAAUUCAUAGUCUUCCCAAGUAGCUUCUAGGUUGGACCAAUGAAUGAGCACUUGUGGUACCGCUGCAUUUCUGGAACGGCUACUGCCUACAUAACUUGUCUUCCUCUUUUCAAGGAAGUCAGUAUCAGACCAUAUGUAGUUCUCGUCUCGAGGGUCUUACUUCCUUUUUCCCGGACCAAAGAAAAGAGAUAAUUUAUUAGCCUUCUCACAUGGACAUAAAGACACGAGUUAAUCAUUCGCAUGCAGCCUCACAUAAACAACAAAUAACAAGCGCAUGCAGCCUCACAUAAACAACAAAUAACAACGCGCACAAGCUUAACACUCAUAUAUUUUUUUAGAUAAUAUGGACAUAAGAUUCCCCUCUUACCCCUAACUAACGAUUAUGCUGCUCUCGUCCUGUUUUUCCAUACUUCCCGCAGCGCAAGAAAAAGAAAAACUAGAAAUAGGAACAAACCGAGACCGAGAGCGAGAGCGAGAGGGUGAAUGCCAAAUUGAUCCAAAGGACUCUCCGCUAAAUGCAUCGCAGCGAAAUUUGCCGCUAAAUUCUCAUUCGCUAGCUCAGCUAUUCCGUACUUGAAGGCUUCACUUUCAGUGCCAUUUGCUACUAAAUCCCGGAGCUGUGAUCGAAGAAAUCCUAUAUUAGCACUCCCCCCAUGUAUUCGUUCGGCUGCAACUAGAAUCUCUUGGUGAUCCCUGCCGGGCAUUAAUUUGGCCAUUUCCUCGCGUAUAGCCCCUUGAUAUUCUACGACCCUUUCAUCGGUCGGGUUUGGGGAUGGCCGAUUUACGGACGAAGAGGAAGAGGGAGUACCACUGUCCGUUAAGAAUACUCCUUUCACGGAAGAAGGGGAUGGCUGGUUCACAGAAAAGGAUGCUAAUGGCGAGGGUUGAUUGACAGAGGAAGAGGAUGCUAAUGGCGAUGGUUGAUUGACAGAGGAAGAGGACGAGGGAGUCCCAAAAGAAAUGAAUCCUUCUGAAGAAGAAGGACUAUGAGAGUGUAGACUAGAAUUGCAAGACAAAAAAGACGAUGAACUGGUGCUACUGGCACUCCCUCCCGAAAGAUCACCCAUUUUAUUUCUGAUAUCCAACAUGAGAAGAUCUUCUGGUCUAGAAUUAGUCGUUUUUUGCAUUUCUUUAUUUGGUUGGGAAAGGAAAGAAGAGAUCGCGAACCGCGCCCACACAAUCUCUUACACAGCAACACUGCUUGUCAAGUUAAGUAGCGACCUGCAUACAGGGGACCCCCUCGUGCCCCACCCCAAGGGCUGACUCUUCUUUCAUUACAUACGAUUUUUGUUACUGAUCAAAUUUGAUUAAUGGAUGUCUCAGAAGACAGGCUUUCUCCGACAAGAAAGAUGAGAGGAACCGUGGAGUUGGACCAAUACGUUGGAAUAGAUAGCUCUGUUGCUUACUUUCAAGCUUUAGAUAGCUCUGUUUGUUACAAGCAAAGAAGAAAAGAUAUAGCUUUAGUUUUACACCAGCUACGCCCUUCCCCAUUGCAACGUUGUUGGUUUUCGUUUUAUUUUUGGAUCCAUGCAAGCCAUUUCCUGUUGAUAGGAAGGCAGAGUAACAAGUUGAUUUCGAGUACCAUACCUCCUUUCCGGUUCACAGACAGAUCGAGGGUCACACCUUACACUUGCGUCACCUGCCUGCCCUUCUCGGUUUAAUUGAAUAAGACCUAGGACCAAGGAUGCAUUUUUUGAAUGGAGUCUUCUCUCUAAAUAUUUCCGGGAAAUAUACCGGGUCAAACCUUCCGAGCUAACUGGACCCUACCCUUUUUCAGAGAAUCAUUCCUCCCCCACUCUCUGCCCUUCUAAAAAGAAAAUGCAUUCCUUCGCACUGUGCUUGACUUUCGCUCUUAUAGCACUCUUUUCCUUAAUGCCUGUUGGCUCUAGCACUGUGCUCUUUGCUUCUAGUCUCGCUAGCUAUGAAACUUCCACUGAAAAAGAAGAAUUUCCACGCCCACCAACUGCAGAAGCUCAAUCAAUGGCCACUACCGACAAGGGGACAAUAGAGCUGCAUUGAACACGCAUCCAGCACCUCGAGUCACUACCAACCAGAAAACGAGCGAUAUAGGAGGUAGACUGCCCGCUCCACAACGAGUGAAGAGUGCCGUAGAGCUGGAGACAUAUCCUUCCUGAAAGCCAAUCGAUCUGAUCUGUUGGAUAGUGCCUGAAAAGCUAUUCCUCGCUAGCGCUGUCUUGUCUGUUCCUGUUCUGGAUUGGGGCACGGGCUUUCUGUAGAUUGGGAAUUGCUGCUUCAACAAUAGGAGCACAGGGCUAACGCCUCUUUGUUUAGGUUUUAGAAAAGUAGAAAGGAGAAAAUUGGACUUUCAGAACUAAUAACUAUAUUCUUUGUCUGAUUUCUUUAAUUGUCCGAGUUCUCUCAUUAAUGAGUUGGCUCGGCCAUCAUCAAGUAGUGAAUCCCCUCUCGGGGAAGUCCCAUUUCUUUCUGAACGGGAGUCGGAGUUUCUACAAAUUGUAUUGGAAGUGGUAUUUGUAGAUUGUGUCAGUGUUUAGCCAAGAUGUCUCCCUUUGCGAAACGAAUCCAAGGGCGGAGUGUUAUCGCUUGCGUCGGUCCCACCCACCCUUGGGAGGGCCCGCCGGCCUUAUCCUUAUCCUUAUAGUGAUCUCGCUUUGAAAAGAGGACUUUCAUAACAAGUGGAGUCGUCUUGUGGGUAUCAACAAGAAAAACCCUUCUCACAUAAGAGCUCAAGAAUAGAUGCCUUGCCCCGAGAACAGGGAUUUGAACCAUUGGACUUUUCUAGCUGUCCUGCCACUGGGUUCCAAGUUCGUACGUAGUCUAGUCCAUUUCUAGGCAGGAAUUGCAUUUUAUGACAUUGGCCCGUUCCUCAAUACAAUAGUUCCGUAGUGCCAGGUGGGAAGCAUCCUUCUUUGAAUAUGAUGAUGGGCUCCCCGGUUUCAAAGAUAAUAAACCUAUAGUUAUAUUACUUGCGUGUUGGUAAGGCGGCUAAGGUUCUUACGUAUCAUAGUUUAGUUCCUUGUUUGUCUAAGAGGAGUUCAUAUAGCCAGUCCAGUAUGGAACCAGAUCCGGAUAUCCGUACUUUUGGUGGUGCGGUUCAGAGCAGAGGAGAGGUUCGGUAGGUUGACAAGAAAGUGCGCCGCUAGCUUUUGUGUGUUCACACAAGGUCAGAAGGAACCUCCGAGUGGAUCCAACAAAGAAUCGAUUCUAUGCCUUCUCUUUCAGUGUUCGUAGGGCUGGAAAUUAUACACGCUGGUAACUAGUAAGCUGGAAUAGUCAGGUUAGGAAUGGAAAAGAAGGAAGGAGGAAGCGAGUUCUCUACUCUAGUGAAGCUAGUGCUAGUUCUGUACUCUAGUUCAGUCCCCAAGGCGCGAGUGAAGCCCUUCUCCAUACCUUCGAUAAACUACUUGCCUCAUGGAAGUUCAAGUUCUCUUUCAUAGAAUGACUGGCUUUACAUAUCUCCUUAUUCGUAGGAAAUGAAUGGGCAGCAACUUAGAACCGAAACCGGAAGGCAAGAAACCGAGCUAUUCAAGAGAGAUCCGGCACAUCACAAGAUAACGAAACAACUUGGAAAGCUAGUUCGGAAAGUUCACCUAUGAAAGCCCUACUCAAUAUUGCCUCGGGCCAGGUCAAUAGAUGAACACAUAGAAGUGAGUAGAAAAAGCAAACUUUAGUGAAUGAAUGCGAUCUAGACCCUGCAACUAGACCGAGCAAGAGGAAAGGAAUGCGAUCCUCAAAUAAAAGAAUCUAUCUAGCACUAGCAGCAAGGAAUGAGAUAGAACCUCGAGCAAGAGAUAUGAGCGUUGAUCUGAUCUUAUGAGAAUACUGCGGCACUCUUUUGGUUCUUCUGAUUUCUAGUCUAGUUUCCUUUCCUUAAGGGACAGGGCGGCGUAGAGCUGAGGAGAGAGACAGAUGGAUGGCAGAUGUGAAUGAAUUGCAAUAUGCAUGCUGCCUGCCACCGAGGAGUAGUAGUAUUGAUGCCAGUGUGGAAGAGUUCGCUGGAUCAUUCUACCGGAGUCAAUCAGUUUGAUUCGUAACAAAUGAGAUUAGUUCACGUAUAACGAGCAUAAAGACGAAUCUAACCGCUAGUUACUCUACUCAUUGGCUCCAUCCCGUUUUUGAGGCCUUCUCUUUUUCGUGAUCUGGGCCAUAAAUCAAUGGUGCCGCAGUCUAUGAAGCAAGAAUGGCCAAUGACAUACGCUAUGGAAGCCGUAAACCUGGAUUGGAAAGCGGAGAUUCUUCUGAGAGAACUGGAACUCUGACCCAAGGCAAGACUUGACUUCUCUGAUCAUCCCUUCCCUGGCGCCUGAGCCCGGCAAUAACAAUAGCAGACAGGUCAGUUGUUCAAGUCCGUCUGGUUGAUAGGUCAGCUCAGUAUAGAAUCUUGUAUGGUAGUCCAGUAAUGACCAGGCAAGUGAACCGGCUUGAGAGACGUAAGAACCGGGAGAACACAGGACGCACGGAAAACUUUCCUGCUCGAGUAACAGAGUCUUGGCUGGCGGAGUUGGAGAAGGGGCACCGACCAGAAGCUAGACAGAAGAAUGACCUUAUUUUCCUUUACUCUCCAUUCCAUUUGUCCUUCAACCGGAUUAAUGGUCAACGACAUUUACAGCCUUUCCUUCACACAAGGUUUUUAAUCCAUCUCCCCUGCUUAGGACAGUAAGGGGAAGUAGCGAUAUUCCGAUUCCUUCGUGGGGAAUCAACGAAGGGUCCAGCUGCUUUAGUACUUAAGUUAACGCCCCAGCCCUUAUCCAGAAGGUAGAUGCGGUAAGCCAACUCCUAUCCUUCUUGCGGAAAGGGCAUUCAAUGCCAUCUGAAUUCCCUUCCUUGCUUCGAGGAGCAGGUCGAAUAGUCAAAGAAGGGGAUGGCUAAUUCCAGGAAUAGAGUAGCAUUCUCAGGCACUACCCUCAGUUGCAGCCUCAGUCCAUAUAAAACAGUCAAUCUACCAGCAGCAGAGGCUGCAGAUACAUGUCCACCACCUGUUUAUCUACUACCAUAAGCGGGAGCAGUUGCAGGUAAAGAGUGUUGUGAGGGCUUUCAUUUGCGCGUUAAGGGCAGUUUCUGUUAUAGCACUAGAAAUCAGUGCCGUUAGUCCCUUCUCGAACAGCAGUUUUAGCAAUUGAAUCAGCUGUUUCCUAAUAGACUAGGCUGUUAGCAGGAUUUGCAGGCGAGACAGAUGAGGAGGCAUAGAAGGAGCAAUUCCAUUAUGUGCUAAAGGCUGCGGAAUAAGAGCUCUUAGUCCUUUCGGCGUAGAGAACGAAUCCUCUGUUGCAAGAAGAAGGGCAAUGCCGAUUGUAAGGUUAAGUAUUACGUACGUCAAAACCAGUCAGUGACUCAUUUAAGUGUUGUGCGAAAAGGUAGCCUUUUGGCAACUGCAACCAUCCAUAGCGAGCGACGGAAGAUCAAUAGGCUGUUUUUUCAUAAGUUGAUAAAAGGAGAGAGCAGCUUAAUGAGAGAAGUAGCAGUGAGGGCGCUAAGCAGGUGUCAAGUUAAUUGGUCUGAGAGCCAAGCCAGCUUUCAAUUUCAAGUAGUAAAAAGCAGGCAUUAAAGUAGGUGAGUAAGUCAAGUUCUCUAUAUGCUUGAAGCUGAUACGCGCCUUUGUUGCCUUCUGUCUUCUUCCCUUUGGUAGUUCUGUUUCCAGCUGAGGAAUUGGAAUAAAUAAGUAAGGCUAACUAAAAGAGAGAAGAGGGUCUACAGUCAUUCUAUCUCAACACUGAAGAAUAGAUUUGCCACCUGGCUCGCUUCAAUGGAUGAGUCGGGCUAGGGUGAUGACUCGGGCUCGGGAGUUUCCAGUGAAGGAAAAGUCUCGUAUUUCUUGAUCUAGUUCCUACCAUUUCUGAUCCGGAUCUAGCUAGAUGAGUAGUUAGUUUGGGAAACAAGGGUGCCGAGCUGAUGUGUUAUCAUAUCAUAUUUGAAAGGAAGUCAGCUAUUGAAUCAGCAACUAGUCUGGUGUUGAUACGCCGCGAUGCCUUUGCUUCACAAAAGACACAGUGAAAGAAGCCCACAUGCCCACUCUUCUUUCCCCCCUCACCUCAACCGUAUAGUAGAUGGGUUUGGGGGCCUCGGUUUCCUAUGCCUACACCAGUGAAUUUCUUUACCUCUUCGUACGCCUCCAAUCGCAGAUUUGAAUAAUCAAGUCGGUAUGGGGCUGCUGCCUUUUGUUACUCCGGAAAUAUUGGCUUCGCCUGUACAGAUUUUCUAGGGCCUGGGCGAUUUUUACCCGCUUCUCGGCGCUCGCCGUUUCAAGGUGAAGAUCCUCGUAAGUAGACGUAAUGUGCUCUCCCUAGGGUUCCUAUCUCGACAGGACCUUAGAACUGUUUUAAUUCUUUUCUUUAAGAACGCAAUGGAUGGUACUUCAGGUUGCGCCCCAUUUAUGGGCGGCUCUGACUCUUUGCCAUUGCGUCUUGGCGGGACACUUUUUUCCGCUUAUCAUCAUCCUCAGAAUUAGGCGUAGCGGAAGCACUCGACGAGGCCUCUACGACAGCAUGGGCUCUUCCCCGUUUCUGGCCGGACGAUUCCAUAAAUACUUUGGUCAGAAGUAAGACCAAACCGAGAGUGAGUAGCAUAGACAUAGACAAGGAUAGAUUUGUGAAUGAGACAUAGUACUCACCAAUAUUCAGAUCCAGAAUUGGGUGAAUUCCAAAUUGAUAUUGAUCCAACGGGCUGUUGAGAUUAGGUAGGUUACCAAAAUACCCUCUGCCUUGUUGGGCAAUCAAGUAGUCCCAGUUGCCCUCGGCAGACAUUCGGGCGUGCAGAUCUUGUAUUCUCUGACCAAAACAACUACGUCCCUGAGGUGUGUGAAUCUCCUCGAGUAAGGACGCCAAAAAGCGUCGUAGUCCGCAAUCGCACUCUCACGCGCGAUACCAGAGAAUAGAUUCACACGGAAAGCGCUUAUUUCCUGUACUGACGGGAGAUUCAGGUUCCUCUCACGCAAGAUACCUUCCAUUUCUCUAAAUAAGGGGAGGGCUCGGAGUACCCUAUGCACAUCCUCCACCGAUUCCGAUUCUCGAUUUAGUGGGAUUCCAGGCAUCCCACGAGUUGCAAUCAUAAUGGGUUUACUACUUGAUAAUAGCAUUUUUCUAUCCGUUAAUAAAAAUAUCAUCGUACUUGACAAUUCCAUCUUUUUCAGCUCUGCUCCCCAAAGAGAAAGGAGACUAGACUGAUCCAUUCUUGACGUCGGCGUUGGUUUUCCAACGAAACGAAAAAAAGAACAUUCGAACAAAUAGACUUGAUUCCAUUACAAAACAAAAAUGCUAGUUCUAACGAACAGCGUUUGUCCCAUCGACUUUACUUUGGCCAAUGAUACUACUACUACUAUAUACUAUAUACUAUAUACUAUAUACUAUAUACUAUAUACUAUAUACUAUACGCGUUUUCUGAGGAGCAACAUGAGACUUGAUUUUCCUAUAGUCUGGCUACUAUACUAUACUAUAGAACCCUGGGCCAUGUUUCCCGAGAGAGACUGCCUUCUCUCAGGCCAGCAGUCUUAUACUUAUAGUCGACUGCUCUAUGACGAUCUGACCUCUUUCCUGGGCUCUGCUCGCUCGUCUACGCUCCGACCAAUUCAGUCAAAAUCGAAAAAACGAUGUUUCGUCUAAGAAUAAGAAAUAGUAGUAGUAGUAAAAAAGUGCACUUUUUCCAUAUAUUUCGAGGGAUCCCUAUCUUUAUCUCUAUCCACAGAGAUACCUAUCUAUUCUAUUCUAUAUAGAGAGAGAUUUUUCUAAAAAUUGAUCUAGACUAUCCUCUCCUCUAUCCGGAUAGAUAUGUCCCUAUGAGCGACUAGGCCGAUCUUUUUUUAUAUGUUUUGGCCACGUCCGUUUCCGCUCCGAAGAGAAGGUUUGGAUCUUUCAAUCUUAUGUCGUGAGGGAUGUGACCUAUGUUAGGUCCAUAAGAUACCACAGUCUUUAGUGUUCUAUGAUUCACCUCCGAAUAAUGAGUAGGUAGUUCGAUCCUUUUGAUUCUUAUCUUCCUAGUAAUAGUAAACGGGGAUCCGGAGCAAUAGGUCGAAUUUCUAUAUAAUUUGUUGUGUAAACAAAAGGGCUUAUUGCUCUUUUUCGGUUUUCGUUUUCCUCGAUAACUUUGAGAUCUCCUCUACCCCUUCCUCUUCCUCCUUCCUUCUUUUCCAUAAGAAGAAGUAUUUGAAAUGAAACAAAUUCCUCUUCAUUCUGUUGUGCUCAGCGAAGGAACUGCCUAAGCAUACUUUUGCGGAUCCAAACUUCUUUGUUCUUUCUAAGUCUUCUUCUUGCAUAUAAGAACGCAACUCUUGCAAAAACCCGGAUUUUAGUAGUAAGCGGCAUCCCCUCUGAGUUGUGAGUAAGCGAACCAUUCUGUUUUUGUUCUUCUCCAGAUUCUGACCGGUAGGAAUUUGCCUAUGAUUUUUCCAACUGAUAUGUCGAUAUAGAAAGAUCUCCUUAUUUCUUCACCGCGGGUUCUCGCGUCAUUUUCUUAAAAAAUAUUAGAUCACCAUGGGAAACUUUAAAAUGAGUAAUGGUUACCAGUCCAUUAUUCAAACAAACCCUUCGAUGACUUAUCGGCUGCCUUGCUUGAGGAAGAGUGUCACUAAAACGGAGACGAACCGGAAUCACGUCCGAUCUUGUUCUUUGAUUGAGUAAAAAAGGGAUAUAUGAAGUUCUUCUCUUCCUCUGUGCAUCUUCCUUAUGGGUAAAUCCCCAUAAUAAAGGACAACUUUCGUGUAGUUUGUGAUUUGAUGUUACUGUUUAGAUUUUCUCUCUGAGAAAGAUUUCUUUUAAUGGAUCUCCUCUUGUUCCUCAAUCUUCGGAGAAUGCGGCGUUGGAUUAGAGAAAGUUCUCUGUUUCCGAACAUUUCCUGGAAGUAGACGGCACGUUUUAAAUCUUAAUGCAGGCAUAUUUCGUUGAAUCAGUCUUUUUCGCCACAUCGCGUAUAAAGGGAAUCAACCCAACUCUUCCACGAACCCCCCACGAAUGGUCCUCCCUUAACUCAAUGAACUUUGAGAAUUCCUUUGCCUAGUUUUUUUCUUUUCAGUUCUCAUAAGUCCUUGAUAUACUAGCCUCAAUACUUGACCGACUGCGUCACAGUGCUCAGGUAAAGUGGCAGUGGUUGAAAGCGAGCGGAAACGUCAGUGUUUUCUGUGCGUUACGAUAGUAGUGGUGAAAGAAAAUCCAAUUCAAAUAUCUCAACGUAAAAGGAAAAUCGUUUCACUUUGAUUUGAAAAAAGACUCCAGCUAGCUAUAUGAGAUCGAACUUCUCAUCACUCUAUCUACGAUAUUCAUUGCACCAUGAUUGAAGGCCUACGCAUCUUCUUUCGGGUAUUUCUUAUUGGUUGACAUAAAUUAUAGACACCGUGGGGACGUCAUCUAGACAAAAAGGGAAACGAUUUAUGAUAGAUUACCAUCAAUCCCAUCUUAUGGUGUUACACCCAUGGACUAAAGAUACUAGUCUUCCUACAUUGCAUCUAUUGGGUUGAGAGAGGAUCUCCUUUCUCCUAAAAAUCCUCCUUGUCCAUGAUACUUACUUGCAAUCAAUUCAUAGUCUUCCCAAGUAGCUUCUAGGUUGACCAAUGAAUGAGCACUUGUGGUACCGCUGCAUUUCUGGAACGGCUACUGCCUACAUAACUUGUCUUCCUCUUUUCAAGGAAGUCAGUAUCAGACCAUAUGUAGUUCUCGUCUCGAGGGUCUUACUUCCUUUUUCCCGGACCAAAGAAAAGAGAUAAUUUAUUAGCCUUCUCACAUGGACAUAAAGACACGAGUUAAUCAUUCGCAUGCAGCCUCACAUAAACAACAAAUAACAAGCGCAUGCAGCCUCACAUAAACAACAAAUAACAACGCGCACAA
This 10470-nucleotide long non-coding RNA is filed under the name Zea mays. Its description in RNAcentral is "long non-coding RNA (ZMAY_LNC000895)". Lineage: Eukaryota; Viridiplantae; Streptophyta; Magnoliopsida; Poales; Poaceae. The record is from RNAcentral.